RNAcentral lists this ribosomal RNA (465 nucleotides) under Vreelandella stevensii. Its description in RNAcentral is "partial 16S ribosomal RNA". It matches the Rfam family "Bacterial small subunit ribosomal RNA", at positions 338 to 795 of the family's 1533-position model. The record is from RNAcentral. Lineage: Bacteria; Pseudomonadati; Pseudomonadota; Gammaproteobacteria; Oceanospirillales; Halomonadaceae.
CCUACGGGCGGCUGCAGUGGGGAAUAUUGGACAAUGGGCGAAAGCCUGAUCCAGCCAUGCCGCGUGUGUGAAGAAGGCCUUCGGGUUGUAAAGCACUUUCAGUGGGGAAGAAAGCCUUGGGGCUAAUACCCUCGAGGAAGGACAUCACCCACAGAAGAAGCACCGGCUAACUCCGUGCCAGCAGCCGCGGUAAUACGGAGGGUGCGAGCGUUAAUCGGAAUUACUGGGCGUAAAGCGCGCGUAGGCGGUCUGAUAAGCCGGUUGUGAAAGCCCCGGGCUCAACCUGGGAACGGCAUCCGGAACUGUCAGGCUAGAGUGCAGGAGAGGAAGGUAGAAUUCCCGGUGUAGCGGUGAAAUGCGUAGAGAUCGGGAGGAAUACCAGUGGCGAAGGCGGCCUUCUGGACUGACACUGACGCUUAGGUGCGAAAGCGUGGGUAGCAAACAGGAUUAGAUACCCUGGUAGUC